AUGGCCAGAUCUAUGAACCCCUUGCACACAACGAUCGUGCUCUCGGUGGUGCUUCUUCUCGUCUUCUUGGCUAAUCAUGGGCAAAGCAGAAACUUGGAUCCAGACAUGGGAAACGGUAGUAAGGUCAUUUUGCCAGGCGAUCUGUGCCGAGCUGGAUCCUGCGCAGAUAUGCCGGGGUGUUACUGCUGUAUGAGCGACGACAUCUGCCGCCCUUCACUCGUCGCGUGCUCGAAAACCUGUGGAAGGUCUUCUUCUACCCGUGUUCUUCGCCGCCCUCCCGUCUAG
This 285-nucleotide ribosomal RNA is filed under the name Triticum aestivum (bread wheat). RNAcentral's name for it is "partial small subunit ribosomal RNA". The record is from RNAcentral. Lineage: Eukaryota; Viridiplantae; Streptophyta; Magnoliopsida; Poales; Poaceae.